This 683-nucleotide ribosomal RNA is filed under the name uncultured bacterium. RNAcentral's name for it is "bacterial SSU rRNA". It matches the Rfam family "Bacterial small subunit ribosomal RNA", at positions 54 to 745 of the family's 1533-position model. The record is from RNAcentral.
CAUGCAAGUCGAGCGAAGCUUUUCAGUAGUUUACUACAGAAAAUGACUGAGCGGCGAACGGGUGAGUAACGCGUGAGCAAUCUACCUUAGUUACAGGGAUAGCCCGAGGAAACUCGGAUUAAUACCUGAUAUUCUUUAUUUCUCGCAUGAGAAUAAAAGGAAAGGUCAGCCGAACUAAGAUGAGCUCGCGUUCUAUCAGCUAGUUGGUGAGGUAAAAGCUUACCAAGGCUACGACGGAUAGCUGGUCUGAGAGGACGAUCAGCCACACUGGGACUGAGACACGGCCCAGACUCCUACGGGAGGCUGCAGCAGGGAAUACUGUGCAAUGAACGAAAGUUUGACACAGCGACACCGCGUGUGGGAUGACGGAUCUAGGUUUGUAAACCACUUUCAGGAGGGAAGAAAAUGACGGUACCUCCACAAGAAGCCCCGGCCAACUACGUGCCAGCAGCCGCGGUAAUACGUAGGGGGCGAGCGUUGUCCGGAUUUAUUGGGCGUAAAGAGCUCGUAGGCGGUUCAACAAGUCGGUCGUGAAAGUUCAGGGCUCAACCCUGAAAUGUCGAUCGAUACUGUUGUGACUAGGAUACGGUAGAGGUGAGUGGAAUUCCGAGUGUAGCGGUGAAAUGCGUAGAUAUUCGGAGGAACACCAAUUGCGAAGGCAGCUCACUGGGCCGCUAUCGACG